Molecule: ribosomal RNA, 253 nt
Filed under: uncultured bacterium
Lineage: Bacteria
Description: partial 16S ribosomal RNA
Rfam family: Bacterial small subunit ribosomal RNA
Source: RNAcentral
UACGUAGGGGGCAAGCGUUGUCCGGAUUUAUUGGGCGUAAAGAGCGUGUAGGCGGCUUUACAGGUCCGUUGUGAAAACUCGAGGCUCAACCUCGAGACGCCGGUGGAAACCGUAAGGCUAGAGUCCGGAAGAGGAGAGUGGAAUUCCUGGUGUAGCGGUGAAAUGCGCAGAUAUCAGGAGGAACACCCGUGGCGAAAGCGGCUCUCUGGGACGGUACUGACGCUGAGGAACGAAAGCCAGGGGAGCGAAAGGG